RNAcentral lists this long non-coding RNA (1165 nucleotides) under Arachis ipaensis. Its description in RNAcentral is "long non-coding RNA (AIPA_LNC001202)". The record is from RNAcentral. Lineage: Eukaryota; Viridiplantae; Streptophyta; Magnoliopsida; Fabales; Fabaceae.
CAUCUUCAUUUUCCAUUAUCCUUAUGUCAUCUUUUGCAUUCAUUCAUUAUAUUUAGUUUUCAUUUGCUUUUCUAUUUUGCUUUUCCUCCUAAUUUUCAUUUUGAAUAUUAAAGAUGGAGCUCGUGACUAUCAUAUGGAAUCUAAUAUGGUUUCAUUACCCUCUGAAUCCUAGCAUGCAAGGGUCUUUCAAAUAUUACCCUAUGGUUCACCCACUUUAAAAUCUAUGCAUACUGCUCCUUCACAAGGCCUCAGAAACCCCCUAAGGUGAACACAAAUUCAAAUCUUCUUGUACUUACCUGCCUUCUUCUCAUGCAUUGAUCACUGAUGGGAAGCAGAAGCUGAUGAAUUUAAAAAUUAUUAAAUUUGAUACGUUGUAAGUAUAGUUCUUAAUUCACCAAAAAUCUGCCUAUCAAUUUAGAAAUGUGUCACAAAGAGUUUAAAUCAAAAUUACUUGGAGUUUUAAGUCCUAGGUCGUCUCCCAAUGAGUUGCAGAGAAGGGUGCUAUCUUAUUAAUCAGAGGUUCAAAGAAGUUGAGGUAAGUAAAUUGGAAUGUAAACUGAGGAAAAUUAAAUGAUAUGAAUAAAAAACCUUGACUGGGAAUUGAUUAGUUAGAAUCUCUAUCAUUGAUGGAAUGAUUUUUUAGAUGGAUUUAUAAUUAACGGUUACUUUGUUUAGUUAUCCUUUACUAGGUAAGGGAAAGUCAAACAAGUUGGAUUACUAGAUCCGUUCACGAGUUACAACCCACUUAGUUCAAGGGAUUGACGUUGGUGACAGGAUAGCAAUUCAACAAUUAACCCAAUUACAAAUUUUCUUUCAAUCCUUCCAACUCAAGAGUUCCUUUUCAAUCAAUUCCCCAUCAAGUAAUGAAACUACUCACGCAUUGUAAAUAAUAAACCCAUAACACAUAAAAGGAAAUUAAAAGAAGACAUGAUUAUUGGAAUUGAAAUUGAAUUAAAAAGAAAUAAUCCUUGCAUUAGAUAACCAUAAAAGUAUCUGAAUAAUAAAAUUGAACAAAACAAAGAAUAUGGAAGAAUAAAACCAAGAUAAAAAAACAAACUAGAAUGAUGAAGUCUUGAUGAGGAAAUAACUCUUCUCAAUGUUCCAAUGCUAAGACCAAUUGAAAAUUAAAAUUCUAAAAACUAGAGAGAAAAAAAACCUAAGAGAG